This 292-nucleotide ribosomal RNA is filed under the name uncultured eukaryote. RNAcentral describes it as "partial 18S ribosomal RNA". It matches the Rfam family "Eukaryotic small subunit ribosomal RNA", at positions 6 to 306 of the family's 1831-position model. The record is from RNAcentral.
GGUUGAUCCUGCCAGUAGUCAUAUGCUUGUUUCAAAGAUUAAGCCAUGCAAGUCUAAGUAUAAGCUAAAUUAUACGGCAAAACUGCGAAUAGCUCAUUACAACAGUUAUAAUCCACACGAUGAUCAUUACUAUAUGGAUAUCCAUGGUAAUUCUGGAGCUAAUACAUGCUACAACACCCGACUUUACUGAAGGGUGGCAGUCAUUAGUUACUCAGACCCAACCACGCUUGCGUGCUUUUGGUGAUCAUAAUGAUAGAGCGGAUCGCAUUUAUGCGACAGUUCGUUCGAGUUU